This 401-nucleotide ribosomal RNA is filed under the name uncultured bacterium. RNAcentral's name for it is "bacterial SSU rRNA". It matches the Rfam family "Bacterial small subunit ribosomal RNA", at positions 355 to 773 of the family's 1533-position model. The record is from RNAcentral.
UUAGGAAUCUUGGACAAUGGGCGAAAGCCUGAUCCAGCCAUGCCGCGUGAGUGAUGAAGGCCUUAGGGUUGUAAAGCUCUUUCAGCGGGGAAGAUAAUGACGGUACCCGCAGAAGAAGCCCUGGCUAACUUCGUGCCAGCAGCCGCGGUAAUACGAAGGGGGCUAGCGUUGCUCGGAAUCACUGGGCGUAACGCGCACGUAGGCGGGUUCUUAAGUCAGGGGUGAAAUCCUGGAGCUCAACUCCAGAACUGCCUUCGAUACUGGGAAUCUCGAGUCCGGGAGAGGUGAGUGGAACUGCGAGUGUAGAGGUGAAAUUCGUAGAUAUUCGCAAGAACACCAGUGGCGAAGGCGGCUCACUGGCCCGGUACUGACGCUGAGGUGCGAAAGCGUGGGGAGCAAAC